CCCUCCUGGGUCCUCCAUUUCCUCAUCUGGCACAUGGACAGAUGGCUGACCCAUCCCCAGAGUCGCCUUGUUGUUCCUGCCCCAGGUGCGGCAGCUGGUGCCUCGGAGGG
RNAcentral lists this microRNA precursor (110 nucleotides) under Callithrix jacchus (white-tufted-ear marmoset). RNAcentral's name for it is "microRNA cja-mir-9966 precursor". Lineage: Eukaryota; Metazoa; Chordata; Mammalia; Primates; Cebidae. The record is from miRBase by way of RNAcentral.